GAUGAACGCUGGCGGCGUGCCUAAUACAUGCAAGUCGAGCGAACAGACGAGGAGCUUGCUCCUCUGACGUUAGCGGCGGACGGGUGAGUAACACGUGGAUAACCUACCUAUAAGACUGGGAUAACUUCGGGAAACCGGAGCUAAUACCGGAUAAUAUAUUGAACCGCAUGGUUCAAUAGUGAAAGACGGUUUUGCUGUCACUUAUAGAUGGAUCCGCGCCGCAUUAGCUAGUUGGUAAGGUAACGGCUUACCAAGGCAACGAUGCGUAGCCGACCUGAGAGGGUGAUCGGCCACACUGGAACUGAGACACGGUCCAGACUCCUACGGGAGGCAGCAGUAGGGAAUCUGCCGCAUGGGCGAAAGCCUGACGGAGCAACGCCGCGUGAGUGAUGAAGGUCUUCGGAUCGUAAAACUCUGUUAUUAGGGAAGAACAAAUGUGUAAGUAACUAUGCACGUCUUGACGGUACCUAAUCAGAAAGCCACGGCUAACUACGUG
RNAcentral lists this ribosomal RNA (496 nucleotides) under uncultured bacterium. RNAcentral describes it as "partial 16S ribosomal RNA". It matches the Rfam family "Bacterial small subunit ribosomal RNA", at positions 28 to 507 of the family's 1533-position model. The record is from RNAcentral.